Molecule: ribosomal RNA, 460 nt
Filed under: uncultured bacterium
Lineage: Bacteria
Description: partial 16S ribosomal RNA
Rfam family: Bacterial small subunit ribosomal RNA
Source: RNAcentral
CCUACGGGUGGCAGCAGUGGGGAAUAUUGCUCAAUGGGCGAAAGUCUGAACCAGCCACGUAGCGUGAAGGAUGACUGCCCUCUGCGUUGUAAACUUCUUUUAUAUGGGAAUAAAAUGUUCCACGUGUGGGAUUAUGUAUGUACCGUAUGAAUCCGGAUCGGCUAACUCCGUGCCAGCAGCCGCGGUAAUACGGAGGAUCCGAGCGUUAUCCGGAUUUAGUGGGUUUAAAGGGAGCGUAGGGGGAUUGUUAAGUCAGUUGUGAAAGUUUGCGGCUCAACCGUAAAAUUGCAGUUGAAACUGGCAGUCUUGAGUACAGUAGAGGUGGGCGGAACUCGUGGUGUAGCGGUGAAAUGCUUAGAUAUCACGAAGAACUCCGAUGGCGAAGGCAGCUCACUGGACUGCAACUGACACUGAGGCUCGAAAGUGUGGGUAGCAAACAGGAUUAGAUACCCGGGUAGUC